UUCUGAACUUCCCUUUAAGUUACAAAACAAGUCUUUGUGGUUAAAUAUACUUGUGAAAUUUUGGUGAAAAAAUUUACGAGAGGUACUUGAGAGACGGAGCUAAUAAUAUAAGGAUAAUAAAUGAAAAUACACAUUUUAACAAAUAAAAUACUAUCUGGCUGAAAAGAAAAAUAAUAGUUACAUUACAUGAAAGAAACCAAUAGCAACUCGUGUUAUUCGGGGAUUCAAUUAAUAAAUUUAUGAUACAAACAGUUCGUAAUCAACAUUACAUUGAAAACGUCGUGUGUAACUUAAUUAAACGCCGUUUAAAAUGCAUAUUUUCGAAAAUCAUAAUUUUGUAAAAUCAUUUUUUUUUCCAAAUUCAUUAAAAAAAUGCAUGAUUUGCAAAAAAAUCAAAUUGUUCAAAUCGAUUUACAAAUGUGUACAAUGCAAAAAGACGUGUCACAGGAAAUGUCUAAGAAAGUCUUUAAAAAGUGAACAGGAAUUAAAGAACGUUUAUCACAGAAACAAAACAACAAUUCGAUAACAAACAAUAUCAAUCCGGCUGCGACCGUUAACGCUCAUGAUAACCGAAAUGGAUAUUUUGUUAUGCCAGACUUCAAUAAUUCGCUAACGGAAUUUUCGGGACGAGAAGCUAGCCAUGAAGCUCAAUUAUGGAUUGAUUCAGUUGACAGCGUUGCCAGAUUACAUGGAUGGCCAGAAAGUUUUAAAAUGGAAAUUGUCCGGACUAAGCUAGUGGGCCCAUCGCGUAACUGGUACAUUGGCCGUACAUUUACGUCUUGGAGUAGUUUUGUUGAUCAAUUUAAGAACACGUUUGUCGGACAUACACUUGAUACGGUCGAUCGAGUUCGUAUUAUGUCUAAUCGUGUCCAAGUAAAAAAUGAGAGUGUAUUCGAUUAUUUCCACCACAAGUCUAGACUAUGUCGUGAAAUUGGAUUAUCGUUUCGUGAAGAAAAGCGACAGAUCGUCGAGGGCUUGUAUUCCCGUGAUCUCUGCAAUUAUUUAUUAGCACGUGACCAUUUAAGUGAAAACGAACUUUUAUCUGAUUUACGUGCGUUCGAUACCGUGAAUGUUGCGCGUAAUAUUCGUUUUCGUGUGGGAGAGAAUUCUAAGAGUUUGAACGACGGUGUUAACCAAAGUAAAAAUAAUAAAGUAAAUCAACAUUUAACAACAAAUUAUCGACCGGUAACGGGAGAACCAACUAAGGCUCAAUCAUCGGCAAAAUCAUCGAAUAUCCGUAAGCAGAAGGACCUGUCUCAAAUUACGUGUUUUAACUGCAAAUCGCUUGGACACUUCGCCAAUGUGUGUCCAACCCGUAUCUGUCAAAAGUGUCACAGUUUGGGUCACUCGGAACGAAGUUGCCCUGACUUCCGAAGUAAUCAGCAAAACGACAGAAUUGAAUGGUCCAGACGACAAGACACAGAUUGAUUCAAGUACAAAUCAAACGAAUAAAACCGAUGAAAUGGAAAUUCUUACAGUUGACGAAGAUAUCGUACAUGAAAAAGAAAUGCCGAAAACACAAACAACACAUACAACAGAAGACGUUGAAAAAUCUAUGGAAAACGAUGAUGUAUUGCGAAAAAACAUAAUAAUAAAUAAACAAAAAUCUGAAAAUGAAGUAUGCUAUGCUCAAGAUCCAACCAUUUAUGAAUAUGAUGAAAAGUAUGAUAUUUUUUUCCUAUGUUUUAUUUAAUAUACCUAUGAUUGGCCAUACAGUCUGGGGGAACGGGGUAAAUAAAAUAAGGCAAGGGGGGCCAACUUCACGCAGCCCCCCCUUUUGAGCUAAGAAUUUCAAAAUACCACCAACAUUUUGCAAAUAAUUUGCAAACAUUUGCAAAUUGGUUUUCAGAAUUUGCAAAUCAAUAUUUAUUUUCCCCGGUCGAUUCGGAAAAUAUUCUAAUAUUUUGAAAAUGAAUUGAUUUAUAGAUAAGUUAAAUAAAUAAAUAAAUAAAU
Molecule: RNA transcript, 1953 nt
Organism: Aphis gossypii (cotton aphid)
Lineage: Eukaryota; Metazoa; Arthropoda; Insecta; Hemiptera; Aphididae
Exons: 4
Source: RefSeq, a predicted model, not a curated record